RNAcentral lists this ribosomal RNA (485 nucleotides) under uncultured Nitrosomonadaceae bacterium. Its description in RNAcentral is "bacterial SSU rRNA". It matches the Rfam family "Bacterial small subunit ribosomal RNA", at positions 747 to 1235 of the family's 1533-position model. The record is from RNAcentral. Lineage: Bacteria; Pseudomonadati; Pseudomonadota; Betaproteobacteria; Nitrosomonadales; Nitrosomonadaceae.
UGAGGCGCGAAAGCGUGGGGAGCGAACAGGAUUAGAUACCCUGGUAGUCCACGCCCUAAACUAUGUCAACUGGUUGUUGGGGAAGGUAACUUCCUUAGUAACGAAGCUAACGCGUGAAGUCGACCGCCUGGGGAGUACGGCCGCAAGGUUAAAACUCAAAGGAAUUGACGGGGACCCGCACAAGCGGUGGAUGAUGUGGAUUAAUUCGAUGCAACGCGAAGAACCUUACCUACCCUUGACAUGUAGCGAACCCUGCUGAGAGGUGGGGGUGCCCGAAAGGGAGCGCUAACACAGGUGCUGCAUGGCUGUCGUCAGCUCGUGUCGUGAGAUGUUGGGUUAAGUCCCGCAACGAGCGCAACCCUUGUCACUAGUUGCUACGAAAGGGCACUCUAGUGAGACUGCCGGUGACAAACCGGAGGAAGGUGGGGAUGACGUCAAGUCCUCAUGGCCCUUAUGGGUAGGGCUUCACACGUAAUACAAUGGCG